This 3236-nucleotide long non-coding RNA is filed under the name Gossypium barbadense (sea-island cotton). RNAcentral describes it as "long non-coding RNA (GBAR_LNC001129)". Lineage: Eukaryota; Viridiplantae; Streptophyta; Magnoliopsida; Malvales; Malvaceae. The record is from RNAcentral.
AUUUACCAAGGAUUUUUAUUCAUAGCAGUGGAGCUAUGGGCCACUUGGGUUGAUCACUCGUAGUGAUAGCGAUAAACGUAGUGGUAGUUGAGACUUGAGGAUGGCAUAAUCAUUUUUCCCCUGUAUUUGCCCUUGUGUUGUACAGGCGGAGAGAUGCUCAAGAGUUCAAAGGUGGAGUCAAGUGUCCACUCAUGGCUGAACCCAAGCUUUGUGGUGGGGGUUGUUCAGUGAGGGGUAUGUUCAGCAGAGGACUUGCUCAGUUCAUAUUUUGAAUUAACUUGAGAUGGGAGAGGCUCUUCCCCACCCAGGUCUCGCCACUACGCUGCGAAUUCUUGGCUUUUGAAGUUGAAUGGUUUCCCGAUCUUCAUCCAGGUUCUGUGGGGUUUUAUUCAAGAUGGAAUUGAAUUAGUGAAGCACACUGCUCGGGGGUAUGUUGACUCGAAGCUUAGCUGACAGAUCAAGAUUACAGUACUCCCUAAUUAUUGAGUGCGCCUUUUGAUUCUUUGGAGUAGUGAUUACUGAUUAUAGAGCACUAGAAAAGUACAUGUCCUUAAAGUUCCCAUUAGUUUUGGAAUGAAUUAAUUGAGUUUUGCCAAACAUUUAAUGCAAGGGCUUUUUCUCCUUUUUACUGGCAGUAGGUUAAACUCUCAUGAAUGCUUUUGGUAACCUCAUAAUUAUUCAUUAUUCUGGGCAGUUGAAUUGAGUUUCGGUUGGUGUAAGGAGUUAAGGACUUAGGGUUUAUGUUUUCAGGAUUAGAAUGCUCAAAGCAUUUAGGAUCAAGCUUUUAUACGUUCGGCUUCUUGACAACCACUAGAAAUGACUCGGUGAAUGUAUGGCAGCAUGUAUGGAUAGAAAAACUCAGCUUAUCUAUUAUCAAUAGAGUUAGGCAAUGAAAACCGCAGAUAUCGUCGGUACUGACUUUCCAUUUAAGCUAUUUCCUGAUUGGGAUAAUCAAAUGUGUAUUAGCUCUGAUUGAUGCAUUAGUUUUAGUUAUUGCAAUGAGAAAUGAAAAAGCUGGUAGAAGGUAAGUAAUGGGCGAUGGUUGUGUAGCAAAAAUUUGGCAGCCUUGAUCGAAGUGAAAACCUUGAAAUGGACAGCCAGGUUGUAUGCUUAAUGCCUUUAAACAAGAUAAGUUUUGAAGAUGAGUUGUUUUCUGCUUUUAUUAUUCUAAAACUACUAUUGCUUUCUACUAUUGUUUUACUCAUUAUCAACAUGAUUUGACGAAUUCUCAAUUUAUAUUGCCAGCGUUCUUAACCCAGAGGAUGAAUACUGUGUUUUCUGUUUUUGAAAAGUUUGAUUAUUGCUAUCAAAAAGUGUUUUUUUGAGCUUUUGAGAUUUUUUUUUCCCAAAAAGUUAAGUUAAAAAAUUUUAAUUUAAAAUUUGAGGUUUGCUUUUUUAAAGACAUUUAAGUAGAUAUUUAUCGAGAAUAGUAUUGGACUUGUUGAGGAAUUCCUCAACAAGAUGCUCCAAUAUGUAACUUCUUUAUGUAAAAAGAUUGGUGAUUGUGAAGAUUUGAGAGAUUUGAGUUCAACCUAUCCCUAUUAUUAGGAGAUUGACUUACUUGACUGGUGGAAUGUGUAUAAAAUUUUUAUAAGAUUCAUCAUUUUUCUAUUUGAUUCACUAGCAAAGUAAUAUCUAGUUUAGUUUAGGAUCUGUUUGUUUACAUGUAAAAGAUUUUAUGGAAAAUGUUUUUUAUAUUUUUCUAUGUUCGUUUCAUGGAAAAUAACUCACAAAUUAAGGUAAAAUAAGUCAUUUUUUUCGGUAAAAUAAUUUAUCCUUAUCUUUUUAAAAAAUGGAAGUCAUUUUUGUGAAAAGAACUCAUCUAUAGAUAAUUUUAUUUUAUUUAUAAAAAUUAACUUAAAUCAAGCUUAAAUAUAAAUAAUAAAAUUUAUUUUUAUUUUUAAAAAUAUUAUAUUUUUUAAUAUUAUUAAACAUACAUAUUUACUUAUUUAUAUUUAAUCUUAUAAUAAAUUAUUAAUAUAAUAAAUAUAAUUUAUUAUUUUAAUAAAUUAUUUAAUAUUUUAAUUUUAUUUUAAUAAUAAAUUUUAAAAAUAAUAAUUUUAAAUAAUAUUAUUCACAUAUUAUUGAAAAUAUUCAAUAUUAAUAUAUUAAUAAUAAAUAUUUAUUACAAUUAUAAAUAUAUUAAUAAUAAAUAUUUUGUAAUAUAAAGGUUAAAAUAUGUCAUAAGUCUAUGUACACUUUAAAAUUUUUUAAUUUAAAUACUCAAUAGUCAUGUAAUUAGAAAAUGACGUAAUGAGUCUGAAUUUAACAUAUUAUUUUUAAUAUAUGCAAAAACAAUGUAAAAUAUAAAAUUAUAGAUAAAAGUAAAUUCAAUUAAGCAAUGAAAAAAAUAAGAAAAUAUCAAAUGUAUGUUUGUUUAAUUGAAAACAACUUUUAUAAAAUAUUUUUAAGAAAUCUAUCAAUCAACAGAAAUAUUUUACACAAAUUAAUCUAAACACUAGAAAAUAUUAGCUUUUCCAGAAAAGUAAAUUAUUUUCCAGAAAUUAUUUUCUGGAAAUCAUUUUCAGAGAAACAAACGGAGCCUUAAUUGUAUAUUAUAAUUCAUUAAUAUUACAUUUGGUAGGAAUAUUAUUUUUUAUACAUGUUUUAGUAUAUAAAUGAGCAAUAAACUAAUUCAUUUAGUAAUAUAUAGUUCCUAUGACUUGCUUUUAGCAAAAAGAUCGAACACCAUUUAUUUUGAAUAAAUUUUAAUUUCAAGUUUAAAAUUGUAUGAACUAUUCUUUAUUUUAUGUCUCAAUUAUUAUAAUAUAUAUAUAUAUAUAAUAAAUAAAUAUUUUUAUCAUGGUAUUAUACUUGUAACCAAAAGAAAAAUAAGAGUUGUGUUUUCAACCUUUAUUAGAAAAAGUAAUAUAGAGUGCGCGAAAAUAAGAUUGCAAUAAACUUUGGGCUGAUAGAAUAUAUAUUAAAGUUUAUACAAUGAUUGAAUAGUGAAUUUAUUUCUGAAUCAGUUCCUGCAUAUGUAGGUUUAAAAUCGAACUAAGCAAGCAAUUGUAAUGUUCUUUUCUAUUUUUAUAUUUGAAUAUAGGUUUAAUUUUCCAUAAAUUAACUCGUAGUAUCAAUUUUCUGCAAACUCAUAUCAGAAAUGAGGAGAAGAAAUAAUUAAGCAGCAGAAGGGAAGCCUUUGAAGGGGUUGCCAAGUGCAGCUACAUUUCCAGGGCGAGAAAGUACAACCUACAUUUGCAAAACAUUAAUGAUAAUUAAAUGGCAUAAACAAG